RNAcentral lists this non-coding RNA (134 nucleotides) under Symbiodinium sp. Mp. The record is from RNAcentral. Lineage: Eukaryota; Dinophyceae; Suessiales; Symbiodiniaceae.
ACGUAGUUAUGCAUGUGCUUCAAGCCUACGCUCUGCAACAGCCCCGCGUGGUGGAGUUGGGCGUCUCCGCCGGUCCUUUCAGCACAUACCUGCUCAGCCAUGUCCCAGAGAUCAGCCUCUUGGGGGUCGACAGC